Molecule: long non-coding RNA, 126 nt
Organism: Melanotaenia boesemani (Boeseman's rainbowfish)
Lineage: Eukaryota; Metazoa; Chordata; Actinopteri; Atheriniformes; Melanotaeniidae
Exons: 3
Source: RefSeq, a predicted model, not a curated record
CAUGUGCUCGGCUGAGUGACAGAGGAAGUGCUUCCUUGCACCAGGAUGUGACCCCACCUGCCUGCAGAGAGGUUACGCAGAUGCGCCACCUGCUGGUUGGAGGUCAGACCGUUGGGUUUCAAAGAA